Molecule: ribosomal RNA, 494 nt
Filed under: uncultured bacterium
Lineage: Bacteria
Description: partial 16S ribosomal RNA
Rfam family: Bacterial small subunit ribosomal RNA
Source: RNAcentral
GACGAACGCUGGCGGCGUGCUUAACACAUGCAAGUCGAACGGAAAGGCCUGCUUUCCCUUGUGGAUUGCGGGUACUCGAGUGGCGAACGGGUGAGUAACACGUGAGUGAUCUGCCCCCAACUUGGGUAUAAGCCUGGGAAACUGGGUCUAAUUCCCGAUAGGACUGCAGGGUGGUGCCUGUGGUGGAAAACGAUUUUCUAGUGGUUGGGGAUGAGCUCGCGGCCUAUCAGCUUGUUGGUGGGGUAAUGGCCUACCAAGGCGGCGACGGGUAGCCGGCCUGGGAGGGUGGACGGCCACAUUGGGACUGGGAUACGGCCCAGACUCCUACGGGAGGCAGCAGUGGGGAAUAUUGGACAAGGGGCGGAAGCCUGAUGCAGCGACGCCGCGUGGGGGAUGACGGCCUUCGGGUUGUAAACUCCUUUCGGCCGCGAGGAAGCCACCUGGUUGGAAGGGUGGUGACGGUAGUGGUAGAAGAAGCACCGGCUAACUACGUG